AACGAACGCUGGCGGCGCGCCUAAUACAUGCAAGUCGAGCGAGAAGACGUAGCAAUACGUUUGUAAAGCGGCGAACGGGUGAGGAAUACAUGGGUAACCUACCCUCGAGUGGGGAAUAACUAGCCGAAAGGUUAGCUAAUACCGCGUACGCUCCUUGGACUUCGGUUCAGGGAGGAAAGCGAUACCGUGGGUAUCGCGCUCUUGGAUGGGCUCAUGUCCUAUCAGCUUGUUGGGAGGUAACGGCUCACCAAGGCUUCGACGGGUAGCUGGUCUGAGAGGACGAUCAGCCACACUGGCACUGCGACACGGGCCAGACUCCUACGGGAGGCAGCAGUAAGGAUAUUGCGCAAUGGGCGAAAGCCUGACGCAGCGACGCCGCGUGGGGGAUGGAA
This 392-nucleotide ribosomal RNA is filed under the name uncultured bacterium. Its description in RNAcentral is "bacterial SSU rRNA". It matches the Rfam family "Bacterial small subunit ribosomal RNA", at positions 29 to 413 of the family's 1533-position model. The record is from RNAcentral.